CGCAAGCCUGACGGAGCAACGCCGCGUGAGGGAGGAAGGCCUGUGGGUUGUAAACCUCUUUUCUCAGGGAAGAAGAUCUGACGGUACCUGAGGAAUCAGCAUCGGCUAACUCCGUGCCAGCAGCCGCGGUAAGACGGAGGAUGCAAGCGUUAUCCGGAAUUAUUGGGCGUAAAGCGUCCGUAGGCGGCUAAUCAAGUCUGCUGUCAAAGCCCACAGCUCAACUGUGGAGAGGCAGUGGAAACUGAAUAGCUAGAGUGUGGUAGGGGCAGAGGGAAUUCCUGGUGUAGCGGUGAAAUGCGUAGAUAUCAGGAAGAACACCAGUGGCGAAGGCGCUCUGCUGGGCCAUAACUGACGCUGAUGGACGAAAGCUAGGGGAGCG
This 379-nucleotide ribosomal RNA is filed under the name uncultured cyanobacterium. Its description in RNAcentral is "bacterial SSU rRNA". It matches the Rfam family "Bacterial small subunit ribosomal RNA", at positions 376 to 770 of the family's 1533-position model. The record is from RNAcentral. Lineage: Bacteria; Bacillati; Cyanobacteriota.